RNAcentral lists this ribosomal RNA (459 nucleotides) under uncultured bacterium. Its description in RNAcentral is "partial 16S ribosomal RNA". It matches the Rfam family "Bacterial small subunit ribosomal RNA", at positions 339 to 795 of the family's 1533-position model. The record is from RNAcentral.
CUACGGGGGGCAGCAGUAAGGAAUAUUGCGCAAUGGAGGCAACUCUGACGCAGCCAUGCCGCGUGCAGGAAGAAGGCCUUAUGGGUCGUAAACUGCUUUUAUUUAGGAAUAAACCCCCGAACGUGUUCGGGGCUGAAGGUACUAAACGAAUAAGCACCGGCUAACUCCGUGCCAGCAGCCGCGGUAAUACGGAGGGUGCAAGCGUUAUCCGGAUUUAUUGGGUUUAAAGGGUGCGCAGGCGGGCUAUUAAGUCAGUGGUGAACUCCCGGGGCUCAACUCCGGAACUGCCAUUGAUACUGAUAGUCUAGAGUUUGGUUGAAGUGGGCGGAAUGUAGCAUGUAGCGGUGAAAUGCAUAGAUAUGCUACAGAACACCAAUCGCGAAGGCAGCUCACUAAGCCAAAACUGACGCUCAUGCACGAAAGCGUGGGGAUCAAACAGGAUUAGAUACCCCUGUAGUC